GGUUCGAUCCUGGCUCAGAUUGAACGCUGGCGGGAUGCUUUACACAUGCAAGUCGAACGGCAGCACGGACUUCGGUCUGUGGCGAGUGGCGAACGGGUGAGUAAUGUAUCGGAACGUGCCUAGUAGCGGGGGAUAACUACGCGAAAGCGUAGCUACUGGCCGCAUACGCCCUUCGGGGGGAGCGGUGGGGACCUCUGGGCCUCGCACUAUUAGAGCGGCUGAUAUCGGAUUAGCUGAAGUUGGUGGGGUAACGGCUCACCAAGGCGACGAUCCGUAGCUGGUUUGAGAGGACGACCAGCCACACUGGGACUGAGACACGGCCCAGAUCUUCUACGGGAGGCAGCAGUGGGGAAUUUUGACAAUGGGGAAACCCUGAUCCAGCCAUCCUGCGUGUGCGAUGAAGGCCUUCUGGGUUGUAGCACUUUUGGCAGGAAGAAAACGGUACGAUGAUUACUUCCGCAAAGUAACUGACGGUACCUGCAGAAUAAGCACCGGCUAACUACGUGCCAGCAGCCGCGGUAAUACGUAGGGUGCAAGCGUUAAUCGGAAUUACUGGGCGGGAAGCGUGCGCAGGCGGUUCGGAAAGAAAGAUGUGAAUCCAGAGCUUAACUUUGGAACUGCAUUUUUAACUAUUACUCGAGCUAGGAGUGUGUCAGAGGGAGGUGGAAUUCGCGUAGCAGUGAAAUGCGUAGAUAUGCGGAGGAACACCGAUGGCGAAGGCAGCCUCCUGGGAUAACACUGACGCUCAUGCACGAAAGCGUGGGGAGCAACAGAUUAGAUACCCUGGUGUACACGCCCUAAACGAUGUCAACUAGUUGCUGGGGCCUUCUCGGGCUCGGUAGCGCAGCUAACGUGAAGUUGACCGCCUGGGGAGUACGGUCGCAAGAUUAAAACUCAAAGGAAGGAUUUGGACCCGCACAAGCGGUGGAUGAUGUGGAUUAAUUCGAUGCAACACGAAAACCUUACCUACCCUUGACAUGUCUGGAAUCCCGAAGAGAUUUGGGAGUGCUCGCAAGAGAACCGGAACACAGGUGCUGCAUGGCUGUCGUCAGCUCGUGUCGUGAGAUGUUGGGGUUGGUCCCGGCAACGAGCGCAACCCUUGUCAUUAGUUGCUACGAAAGGGCACUCUAUCGAGACUGCCGGUGACAAACCGGAGGAAGGUGGGGAUGACGUCAAGUCCUCAUGGCCCUUAUGGGUAGGGCUUCACACGUCAUACAUCGGUCGGGACAGAGGGUCGCCAAUCCGCGAGGGGGAGCCAAUCCCAGAAACCCGAUCGUAGUCCGAUCGCAGUCUGCAACUCGACUGCGUGAAGUCGGAAUCGCUAGUAAUCGCGGAUCAGGUAUGUCGGUGAAUACGUUCCGGUCUUGUACACACUGCCCGUCACACCAUGGGAGUGGGUUUUACCAGAAGUAGUUAGCCUAACCGUAAGGAGGGCGAUUACCACGGUAGGAUUCAUGACUGGGGUGAAGUCGUAACAAGGUAG
This 1483-nucleotide ribosomal RNA is filed under the name uncultured Bordetella sp. RNAcentral describes it as "partial 16S-23S ribosomal RNA intergenic spacer". It matches the Rfam family "Bacterial small subunit ribosomal RNA". Lineage: Bacteria; Pseudomonadati; Pseudomonadota; Betaproteobacteria; Burkholderiales; Alcaligenaceae. The record is from RNAcentral.